UACAGAGGGUGCAAGCGUUAAUCGGAUUUACUGGGCGUAAAGCGUGUGUAGGUGGUUUAACAAGUCGGUUGUGAAAUCCCUGGGCUCAACCUGGGAACUGCUUCCGAGACUGUUCGACUAGAGUACGGUAGAGGGCGGUGGAAUUUCCGGUGUAGCGGUGAAAUGCGUAGAUAUCGGAAGGAACACCAAUGGCGAAGGCAGCCGCCUGGGCCUGUACUGACACUGAGACACGAAAGCGUGGGGAUCAAAC
RNAcentral lists this ribosomal RNA (250 nucleotides) under uncultured bacterium. RNAcentral's name for it is "partial 16S ribosomal RNA". It matches the Rfam family "Bacterial small subunit ribosomal RNA", at positions 524 to 773 of the family's 1533-position model. RNAcentral also lists the same sequence under 1 other name. The record is from RNAcentral.